GGGGUUGUGGCUCAGCGGUAGAGUGCUCGCCUAGCAUGUGCGAGGCCCUGGGUUCGAUUCUCAGCACCACA
RNAcentral lists this transfer RNA (71 nucleotides) under Marmota monax (woodchuck). RNAcentral's name for it is "tRNA.Ala". It matches the Rfam family "tRNA". Rfam says of the family: Transfer RNA (tRNA) molecules are approximately 80 nucleotides in length. Their secondary structure includes four short double-helical elements and three loops (D, anti-codon, and T loops). The record is from RNAcentral. Lineage: Eukaryota; Metazoa; Chordata; Mammalia; Rodentia; Sciuridae.